RNAcentral lists this ribosomal RNA (450 nucleotides) under uncultured bacterium. RNAcentral describes it as "partial 16S ribosomal RNA". It matches the Rfam family "Bacterial small subunit ribosomal RNA", at positions 31 to 523 of the family's 1533-position model. The record is from RNAcentral.
AAGGAACGCUAGCUAUAUGCUUAACACAUGCAAGUCGAGCGGGCGUAGCAAUACGUCAGCGGCAGACGGGUGAGUAACGCGUGGGAACGUACCUUUUGGUUCGGAACAACACAGGGAAACCUGUGCUAAUACCGGAUAAGCCCUUACGGGGAAAGAUUUAUCGCCGAAAGAUCGGACCGCGUCUGAUUAGCUAGUUGGUAGGGUAAUGGCCUACCAAGGCGACGGUCAGUAGCUGGUCUGAGAGGAUGAUCCGCCACAUUGGGACUGAGACACGGCCCAAACUCCUACGGGAGGCAGCAGUGGGGAAUAUUGGACAAUGGGGCAACCCUGAUCCAGCCAUGCCGCGUGAGUGAUGAAGGCCCUAGGGUUGUAAAGCUCUUUUGUGCGGGAAGAUAAAGACGGUACCGCAAGAAUAAGCCCCGGCUAACUUCGUGCCAGCCGCCGCCGUAA